Molecule: long non-coding RNA, 4644 nt
Filed under: Brassica napus (rape)
Lineage: Eukaryota; Viridiplantae; Streptophyta; Magnoliopsida; Brassicales; Brassicaceae
Description: long non-coding RNA (BNAP_LNC003318)
Source: RNAcentral
CGGUUAACAGCAGGUGGUUUAACUUGGAGAAGCAUAUCAUGGUGGACGGUGAGAAGAAGGAGAUCAAGUUCGCGAGCAGGAUACACAUGAGGAUAUGUUUGGAAGGAGGGUACCAUGUUCUUGAUGAGUCUACGCAUUACAGUAGCGACCUUAGACCGACGGCUAAGCAGCUCUGGAAGCCGAGCAUCGGCGUGUUGGAGGUCGGGAUACUUAAUGCCACCGGCUUGAUGCCUAUGAAGAAUAAAGAUGGACGAGGGACGACGGAUGCGUACUGUGUGGCGAAGUAUGGUCAGAAGUGGAUUCGAACGAGGACUAUUAUAGACAGCUUUACUCCGAGGUGGAACGAGCAGUACACGUGGGAGGUUUUUGAUCCGUGUACUGUCGUCACCGUUGGGGUUUUUGAUAACUGUCAUCUCCAUGGAGGUGGUGAGAAGAACGGUGGAGGAGGAGGAGGAGGGAAAGAUUCAAGAAUCGGGAAGGUGAGGAUCAGGCUCUCUACUUUAGAGACGGAUCGUGUCUACACGCACUCGUAUCCUCUUCUUGUGCUGCAUCCCAACGGAGUCAAGAAGAUGGGAGAGAUUCAUUUAGCUGUGAGGUUCACUUGCUCCUCGUUACUCAACAUGAUGUAUAUGUACUCGGUGCCUCUCUUGCCUAAGAUGCAUUACAUUCAUCCUCUGACGGUUAGCCAGCUUGAUAACCUGAGGCACCAAGCGACUCAGAUUGUGUCGAUGAGGCUGACAAGAGCGGAGCCGCCGCUGAGGAAGGAAGUGGUUGAGUACAUGCUUGAUGUUGGCUCCCACAUGUGGAGUAUGAGGAGAAGCAAAGCGAAUUUUUUCAGGAUCAUGGGUGUUUUGAGCGGGUUGAUAGCUGUUGGGAAGUGGUUUGAGCAGAUAUGUAACUGGAAGAAUCCGAUCACAACGGUGUUGAUCCAUCUCUUGUUCAUCAUCCUUGUUGUCUACCCUGAGCUGAUCUUGCCGACUAUCUUUCUUUACCUUUUUCUUAUCGGUGUAUGGUACUACCGUUGGAGACCGAGGCAUCCUCCGCACAUGGACACGCGUCUCUCACACGCUGACUCAGCUCACCCGGACGAGCUUGACGAGGAGUUUGACACAAACUAUGUAAAUUAUAACAACUAGCUACUAUCUAUGCACAACCCUUGUUUCAUAAGGUAAUAACAUAGAGCGGACAAAUGGGAACAGACAUGAUAUAGAGAUGUAUUAUUGUCCAUAUACCAAUUUUGGAUUCAUAUGUACAGUAGCUUGGUUUUGUAAACUACUUAGAAAAAGAGAGUCGUAUAUUUAUAACAACAACAACUCCGAAAGUGUUUGAUGAAUUUCCAUUUUCCAGCUAUACCCAAUCACGUAAAAUACCUAACUAGAAGGAUUCGCUUACGUGUUUAGAACCUAUAGUCCCAUCUUUAGGUUUGGUGUCAAUUGACUAGAGAGACAUAUCAUUUACACCAUUUAUUAUUUAUCACCAACAACUGAUCAAGAUCCAUAACUAUCAUAAUGGAGUACUAGAAAUUAGUCCGAAUGUUUUUAUAGUUUAGACUAAACUAAUGCAACUUGAAUUACACCGGUUUUUUCUUCUUUUUCGUGUUUUCACCUAAAGGCAUGAUGAUAACUAAUGCCGACCAUAAAGAAUAAUCAUUUAUAAAAAUCAAGCACAUGUAACGCAUAUAUGUGGAAAUUAUGAUUUCAGACAUUUAAGGUAAAAUUCGAGGAAAAACAUUUGAUUGCGACUGUUUUUCUUUACGACUGUAAUGUUGUAACCUUUUUUGUUGUUUGGUGAAGAAGUAACGAUGCAACUUAUAAUACAUUAUCCCCUUUCCAAGCAUAAUAUAAAUCUAUAUAUACUUUCUAAAGGCUUACUCUGUAGCCAGAAUACGUUUUCAGCAAAACAGAAUUACUUUUUGAUAAUUAAGAAGAGUUCAAACCGGGCUUUAAGCAUUUCUUUAGAUCUAAGACUAGCCGUUGCUAGCAUCUCGUGACAUUGGCAUAAAACAUUCUAAUCUUUUCAUCGAAAUCAAACUAAACGCACAACAGAGCUAACUUCUAUUGCUGUUGGUAAAACAUAAACUUUUACUGAAUGAAUAUGGAGAUGAAUGUAUGAUUAAACGCCAUAGGAACCGUAAAUGGAACUUUUAUCUAGCAAACGACAAAAGUAAGAGUCAGGGCCAGCCAAAGCAAAAGUACGAAUUUGUAUUGCUUAUUGUAUAGAAUGCAGAAACAUGGAGGAAUCCAAUGACUUGUGCUUCAUCUUCUACUAUUUUUUUUUGUAAAUUUUCUCAGUCUUUUUUUUUAUCACAAUUUAAUCAAAAUAAAUUUGCAUCAUACAACCAAUUACACACUCAAAAUGUACACACUAAAAACAAUAGUAUUUCCGUUAAGAAAAACAAUUCAACGAGGAUUAUUUAAGUUUAAGUUUUUCCAAUAAAGUAUUUUAUUACGGAGAACCGUUGUCUUCACACGUGUGGGAUUCAAAACGAAGAGGGUAUGUCUUGCGUGAUUUUCCAUGGACCCCACCCGUAUAUUUUUGUAGCACAACAGUGCCAUGUGUGCGUCUCUCUACUGUUUUUUUUUCUUUCUUUUUUGUAUAGUCAUCAGAUCAUAACCGAGUAUAAAAAAGGUAGAAACUGUAGAAAAAGCAAAGGAAAGAAGAAGACAACAGAAUACAACAAGAAGAGACCAAUACAAUAAAAAUAUCUCUCUCUCUCGGACUCUCCUUCCUCUUCAAUGUUAUUUCUUUCUCUCUCUAGAAAUUUCCCUUUCCCAGUAGUGCAUACCCUCUCUGCUUUUACUAGUCUUAUCUUCGUUUGUCCCUUUUAUUUAUUAGACUUUGAUUAAAACGAGGACGAACCAACAAGAGAGAAGACAUAACUCUCCUUACUCAUCAAGGACGGAGAUUUUCUCGCUCUUCUUCUCAUCCAUGAACUGCUUCUGAGUGUUGCUUUUUUUGAAGAUCUAAGGUGUUUAUUCUCAGAUCUAAACUUUUAUUACUAUUAUCUUCCCAUAACUGCUUUUACUGAUCUUUUUCUAUGGAUUUUGAGCAUUUUUUAUUUGUCGUUUUCUGUUUUUGGUAAAUAAAAAUUUUGAAGAAAAAAAGUUUAAACUCUCAAUGAAGUGAACUGGAAGAUGUUUUUUUUAAAAUAAAUGUUGGGUUGAUUCAUGAUUUUGUGCCGUUAGAUUCUGCUUCGGAGAUGCUAACGAGGUUGUGUUAUGAUCUAGAAAAUGCGAGAUGCUAUAUUCGAGUAUCUUUUUGUAAUAUUCAUUUAUUUAUCAUUUUCUUACUUUUUUAAUUCUCUUACAAUGGUGGUUUUGUGUUUCAGAUCUAGUGUUUUGAAGUGGAGCAAUAGUCUCUGUAAGUAUCAAUCUUUAUUGCUAAUCUUUAGCUAAUGAAUCUUACUAAUUUUCGAAACUUUUGUUCAGUGUCUUUCUCGAAGCAAACAUGAUGCAGAGACCACCUCCCGAAGACUUCUCCUUGAAGGAGACAAGACCCCACCUCGGCGGCGGCAAACUCACCGGCGACAAACUCACCAGCACCUACGACCUCGUCGAGCAAAUGCAGUACCUCUACGUCCGCGUCGUCAAGGCCAAGGAGCUCCCCGGGAAAGACCUUACCGGAAGCUGCGACCCUUACGUCGAAGUCAAGCUCGGUAACUACAAAGGCACCACGCGUCACUUCGAGAAGAAGUCAAACCCGGAGUGGAACCAAGUCUUCGCCUUCUCCAAAGACAGGAUCCAAGCCUCGUUCCUCGAAGCCACGGUUAAAGACAAGGACGUUGUGAAAGACGAUUUGAUCGGUCGCGUUGUCUUUGAUUUGAACGAGGUGCCUAAGAGAGUCCCUCCCGACAGCCCCUUGGCUCCUCAGUGGUAUAGACUCGAAGGCACUAAAGGUGAGAAAGUGAGAGGAGAGCUUAUGCUUGCUGUUUGGUUCGGUACUCAAGCUGAUGAAGCUUUUCCCGAGGCUUGGCACUCGGAUGCAGCCACAGUGAGCGGAACAGACGCUCUCGCUAACAUACGCUCAAAAGUCUAUCUCUCCCCCAAGCUAUGGUACUUGAGAGUUAACGUCAUCGAGGCUCAAGAUCUGAUACCUAGCGAUAAAGGGAGGUACCCUGAGGUCUACGUGAAGGCUAUAGUGGGAAACCAAGCGUUACGGACUAGAGUCUCUCAAAGCAGGACUAUUAACCCCAUGUGGAACGAGGAUCUGAUGUUUGUAGCAGCUGAGCCUUUCGAGGAGCCGUUGAUUUUAAGCGUUGAAGACAGAGUUGCUCCUAACAAGGACGAAGUCUUAGGGAGAUGCGCGAUCCCGUUGCAGCAUUUGGACAGGAGGUUUGACCACAGGCCGGUUAACAGCAGGUGGUUUAACUUGGAGAAGCAUAUCAUGGUGGACGGUGAGAAGAAGGAGAUCAAGUUCGCGAGCAGGAUACACAUGAGGAUAUGUUUGGAAGGAGGGUACCAUGUUCUUGAUGAGUCUACGCAUUACAGUAGCGACCUUAGACCGACGGCUAAGCAGCUCUGGAAGCCGAGCAUCGGCGUGUUGGAGGUCGGGAUACUUAAUGCCACCGGCUUGAUGCCUAUGAAGAAUAAAGAUGGACGAGGGACGACGGAUGCGUACUGUGUGGCGAAGUAUGGUCAGAAGUGG